GACGAACGCUGGCGGCGUGCUUAACACAUGCAAGUCGAACGAAGUGGCGAACGGGUGAGUAACGCGUAAUCAACCUGCCCUUCAGGGGGGGACAACAGUUGGAAACGACUGCUAAUACCGCAUACUGAAGGAGGGGAGUGCGUUUGAUUAGCUAGUUGGCGGGGUAACGGGCCAACAAGGCGAUGAUCAGUAGCCGGGUUGAGAGGAUGAACGGCCACAUUGGGACUGAGAAACGGCCCAGACUCCUACGGGAGGCAGGAGUGGGGAAUCUUCCGCAAUGGAGGAAAGUCUGACUGAGCAACGCCGCGUGAGUGAUGACGGCCUUCGGGUUGUAAAGCUCUGUUAAUCGGGACGCGUUACCGGAAGAGAAAGCCACGGCUAACUACGUGCCAGCAGCCGCGGUAAUUC
RNAcentral lists this ribosomal RNA (408 nucleotides) under uncultured bacterium. RNAcentral's name for it is "partial 16S ribosomal RNA". It matches the Rfam family "Bacterial small subunit ribosomal RNA", at positions 28 to 526 of the family's 1533-position model. The record is from RNAcentral.